UCCUUCUCUUUCUCUCUGCCUCUCAGUUUCUCAGUCUUUCAAUGGCGCUCAAGCUCCAUGGAAUUCCCAUGUCCACAUGCACCACUCGUGUCCUCACCUGUCUCCAUGAGAAAGGCUUGGAUUUUGAGCUUGUCCCUGUUAAUCUCUUUGCAGGUGAACAUAAGCAGCCUCCUUUUCUUGCCAAGAAUGUGAGUCUCACUUCCCUCUUUCUUUCUAAUCAUCCCUCUUUAUUCUCUUUGAAGAUUUUACUUUUCUUUGGGGUUGUAUAAAUUAUGAUUUUCCUUGGUUUGGGUACAUUGUUUUUAGUGUGCAGUCUUGUCGAUUUGAUUUUGGUCUUGGUUUUGUUAUACAUAUAUGCAGCCCUUUGGACAGAUUCCAGUUCUGGAAGAUGGCGAUCUCACUCUUUUUGGUAAGUCCUCGGUUUUAAUCACUUUCCUCAUAAAAGCUUGAAAUUUGUUGUACUGUACUACCAUCAGGAUUGACAGUUCCUGAGAUUUAUUAGCUGCUUGCUUUUGAACAAAAUUUUGCUUUAAAAAAUUAAAGGAGUUUUUCUUACAAAAUCAUGCUAUUUAGUACAACAUACGAGCUGGGUCUAUGAUACUAUUAAGUAUACUAUUGCCCCAGCCUUACUGAAAAUCCCUAGUCGAUGAAGUUGGGUUACUGAAAUUAUGUAUAUGUACCAGAAUCUAGGGCAAUAACAGCAUAUUUGGCCGAGAAAUACAAGGAAACGGGGUGUGAUCUCUUGAGGCACAAUGACCUCAAAGAAGCUGCAUUGGUGAAGGUGUGGUUGGAGGUUGAAUCCCAACAAUAUCAUCCGGCAAUAUACCAGAUUGUGUACCAGUUCUUCGUGUUGCCUCUACAAGGCAAGACGGCCGAUCAGGCCAUUAUUGAUGUAAAUCUGGAGAAGUUGGGUAAGGUUCUGGAUGUGUAUGAGGCCAGGCUGGGCACCACAAAGUGCCUAGCAGGAGAUUUCUACAGCUUGGCUGAUCUUCACCACCUUUCUUACACUUACUAUUUCAUGAAGACGCCAUGGGCUUCCCUCAUAAACAGCCGUCCCAAUGUGAAGGCAUGGUGGGAGGACAUUUCCUCAAGGCCAGCUUUCAAGAAAGUGGCUGAAGGCAUGACUUUUGGUGAGAAGUGAUCGGUUUCUGAGCAGUGUGGCUCUAUGUUUUGGGGUAAUAUUAAUUGUAGUGGUUGCUGCCUCUUAAUUACGUGUAUUUAAGUGUGAGACCACGUAAUAAUUACUGAUUAUGUGUUAUGAUUUGCCCUAAAUUAAUCAGAAAUGUGGAAUUAUCUGGGGUUUCUCAUUGUGGUAAUUAAUCUGCUUGCAACCAGUUUUUGAAAGGGUUUGAUGCAUUUUUACUCCAUACUUUGCUUUAGCUAGGGUUAUGUUGGUGUCUCUAAGGCAUAAUGCUUCCAUUUUUGAGUCAUUGCAUACUCAGAUCAAAGUUUUCAAGACUUGUAGAAAAUGGGUUUUGGUAUUUUCAUGAAAGAGAAUGAAAGGGCAAAUUUCUUCACAAGGCAUGUAGUAAGGGUUUUCCCUUUCAAUCAGUCUUUUUCCUGAGAAACAAACAGAAUGUAUAUCAUGCCGUGUCAUCCACUGUGACAGUUUUCCUCUGAAGAGUUUUACUGCAGUACUUCCUAUUUAUUCCCAUUUUUACUUCCCAAACGAGGUAAACACGUACUGUACUGCAGCUCUGGUUAUUUUCAUCAUCCUUGCUUGUCCAAAGCAGCUUCACUCUUUGAACCUAUUUUUAUUGUUAUAUAUAUAUAUAUAUUAGGUCAAAUUAAUCUUCCAAUUUUCUAACUCUAAGCCCUUGCAAAGAGUUUUUGUAGUAUCAUAUGUAUCUACUAUCAGUCAAGCAGAAACUGGAUAAUGUUCUAUAUACGCUUCAAUAAUUAUGGAUCCAGCAAAGGAGAUCUUUUGUUAUGCUACGGGUCUCUACUAAAAUCUGAGGCUGGAACCCACUUCAAUUAUUCACUCAUUUUGUUCUCAUAGAACCUUCAGCCAUGUGACCCUCACCCUCCAACUAACUUUCAACCACAUCUACCACCUUUCUUUCCUUUUUAUUUUUAUUUUUUAGUUUUGACCUAAUUCCAUCUAACUCUCAAAAUGUAUUCUAAAUCAUGCAUCACAGUCUCAAAAUAUAUGUAGGCCCUUCUCUCUAGAUUCUUGAUUCUAUAGUCUUGUACAACCCAAAUUUCUUAGACUCUAGUCUGAAUAAGCUUGAUAGACAUGAUUGUGCUUAUUAUUUAAUAAUUUAAGUUUUUCUUAUAGUAAUUAAUAGUUUAAUAUGAUAUAAUAAAAUUUCUUAUCUUAAUUAAUUUGUAAAAUUAUCUAGAUGAGAUAAAUAGAUAGUCCUAAUUUUUAACUCCAAAAAUUGAUUUUUUUUCUCAAUUAUAAAUUUUCUUAAUCCAAUGCGAGAUUCAAAUAUCAAAAUAAUAGCUAGUUUCAUAAGACACUUGAUGUAUGUGGAAAACCAUCAACAAUCAUGGGUUUGCAAAACAAAGUAAUUACUAAAUCUAAAAGAAUAAGUACACAAUUUUUAUCAAAAUUUGAUACUAUCUUCUCCCAAGGGUCUUAUGUUGGCACAUAUUUACACUUGUUUUCAUGUUUGAGAUGCAACACCUUAUACCCUUUAGGAAACUCCUCAACUACUUGAUAACAUAUAAUCAACCAUUAUGAUUUGAUCUCAAAUAAGAGUUAAGCGAUUGAAAAUGUAUGUGUAGUGAGUUUGAAAUGAGAAUGAUAGAGAAAUUGAACUUUUUCAUUAGACUUUAAAUGAAGCCAUUAAGGAAGAGAUCCACUCCCAAGAUUAAUUCAAGAUGGGGAUAUAAAAAUGGUAUCUUACCAUAAUGACGUCAUCCAUCAAACUUUAUAUGAAGAAGAUAAAUCCAUUGGUUGAACUCUUUAUAGAGGAAUAAUUGACUCUUUAUCAUUAAACAAUAUAUGUUUGUUUUCAACUUGCAAAGAAUCUUAUUCUAGUGCUAUUAAAAAAAUUCUUAAAUAUUUAAAAAGAAUAAUUAAACUAUGUUUGUGAUAUCAUGCAUACUAACUUUGAUCUAAUUAACUAAUUAAAAGUGGAUUUUCCGUUUGUAAAAGUAAUGGAAAUGUAUUAGUGGUACUUAUAAUGUUUGUUUUCAAUCUUACAAAGAAUCUUAUUUUAGUGCUAUUAAAAAUAUUCUUAAAUAUUUAAAAAGAAUAAUUAAACCACGUUUGUGGUAUCAUGCAUACUAACUUUGAUCUAAUUAACUAAUUAAAAAUGGGUUGUUCCAUUUGUAAAAGUAAUGGAAACGUAUUAGUGGUACUUCUAACUUUCUAGGCCACUCACUAGGUUUUGACAUAGUGAUCGAACCUUUGAUCAAUUGAGUUGUCGUGUGCGAUAUAUUUCAUAAUGACUAAUUGAUGCAUGGUGGUUUAGACUUAGUCUUAAUUGGUUGAGGACUUGUUGAUCAGAUGUUAAUCGAUUAAGGUUCUUGCACCUUAAUGAUUACCUCCAAGUGUACUUUUAUUUAAUAGCAUGUUUCUUAGUCCAUCGCCUAAUCCACUAAUUCAGCUAAAAAUGUGCCUAAGGGCUAGUUUCACUCUAGAACUCUUAUUUAAAACUUUCCAACCUUGAGCAAUCAUUGUAGCAAUUUAUUGAAUGGUUCUCUAGAAUACUCUUAUUCCCAAACUCGCAAGUCUCAUUUAGUCUACCUUAAUCUUAGUUUAUUUAUAUAUUUGAUCCUGAAUUUUGCAAACUAGAAAGCUUACUUUAAGAAAUUCACUCUUGUAUUCAUGAAAGAGUAUACUGAAAUGUAAGGGAUCACUUGAGGGCAUUGCAAAGGCAUAUUGGAAGCUUAAAUAUAAGUGUAAAAAAAUUAAAAGCAAAAUCUUAGCACUAGUGAAUGGACCUCAAGCUUAGAUUGAUGAAAGAGAGAGUGGAUAUAGGAGUUAUAGAACCAUUAUAAGUACUUUAUUGCAUCACUCUAUCCCUAUCUCUAUUAAUUUACUUGCACUAUAUUAAUUUUUAUAAUUUGCUUUUUAAUUUUCUAAAUUUUGCAAAAGAACUAACACCGAAUUCUCCUCCCCUCUUGGGUGUCUUCCUCAAGUGAACUCAACUAAUUUGCUUUUCAAUUUUCUAAAAUCAUGAAUCAAUGUAUCAUAAAGCAAAUCCACUAAUUUAAAAAGAAUUAAUACACGGUUUUACCUUAACCAUAUGUUAUCUUCCCCUAAUAAUCUUACACCAAUCAACACAUCCAUUUGUUUUCACGUUUGCAAUGCAAUAUAUGCUCCUUAGUAAACUCCUUAGCAAUUUGAGAUAAUACAAUCAACCAUCAUAAUUUAUCCUUUAAUUAAAGUUAAGUUUUCAGGAAUAUUGGAAACACACAUGAGAAUAACGACAAUUAUUUUCGAGAGCAUGUUGUUUUUUCAAUAUAAGGAGAAAAUCUUACUAAGUCUAUCCAAAUACAUUAAUUGAAAAAAAUAUAGAAUUAGAAAAUCAUGAAAAAAAAAAAACAAAUGGGUCCAAGGUAAACCGAUGUACUCCAUUUUGUCAUGAAUAUUCACUAAAAAUUACUCAACCGUACACAAGCUUGACACACAACAUUUCCCCACUACGUAAUAGCCAUUAAAUCAAAUGAAAAAUAAAAUCUCCAACGUUAAAUUAAGUUGACACCGUGUGCAUCCCUGGUUUCAUAAUGCAGAGUGAGAUGAAACAGAAUCGAUGCACAAGUACUGGGAAAUAAAAUUACCCAUCACGAGUCUAGAAAAUGGGUUCUGAUAUUUUCACAUAAGACAAUGUUGGAGGAUUCUAGGAAAAGAAAGAGAAUGCGGGAAAGGGAAAAUUCUUCACAUGCCUACAGCAUUUACGGCAUAAAGAACGUUUUCUUUCUCAAAGCAUGUGAUCUUUUUCCUGAGAACCAAACAGAUGGCAAAAGCAAGUUCCUGCUUGUCCAAAAAAACCCUGUACUCAUUGGACUAACAAAGCCUGAAUUAAAUAUGGGCCAUUUCGUACCUUCACCAUGGCCCAUUUCUUGUGAUGUUCUUUUGAAUAAAUUUAAGAAAUUACUGUUAGAAAUCAAAUAGAUUGAAUAAAUAUUUUAAUUUAUAAAAAAAUCAUCUUAAAUAAAUAACAAAUAAUAAAUAGGAGAAGGAAAAGAGAAAGUACGUAUAUUUGCAAUGUUACAUUACCUCACCUUAUCGUUUUCCAAAACUUAUAGUAAGCAAGAAUUGGAUUUACUUCUGCCUUCUAUUCUUCAUCAAUACAAUAUGAACGGUAGAGAAGUCCCUUGUUCUAAAGGAGCCGGGCAAGUCGAUUGAAACAAGCGAAUCGAGGUGGCCUGCAACUACCCUAAACAACACUGCAUAAGAAGCCAACAAACUAGUAUAUAACGCCCACCAUACCCUCUUCAUUUUCAGUACCACCUCACCAUCCUCCAUUCAUAUCGCCCAUUUUCACCCACCUCUUUCUCUCUCUCUCUCUCUCUCUCACUCUCUCAGUUUCUCAGUCUUUCAAUGGCGCUCAAGCUCCAUGGAAUUCCCAUGUCCACUUGCACCACUCGUGUCCUCACCUGUCUCCAUGAGAAAGGCUUGGAUUUUGAGCUUGUCCCUGUUAAUCUCUUUGCAGGUGAACAUAAGCAGCCUCCUUUUCUUGCCAAGAAUGUGAGUCUCACUUUCUUCUUUCUUUCUAAUCAUCUCUCUUUCUUCUCUCUGUAGAUUUUGCUUUCUUUGGGGUUGUAUAAAUUAUGAUUUUCCUUGGUUUGGGUACAUUGUUUUUAAUGUACAGUCUCGUCGAUUUGAUUUUGGUCUUGGUUUUGUUAUACAUAUAUGCAGCCC
This 5818-nucleotide long non-coding RNA is filed under the name Vitis vinifera (wine grape). Its description in RNAcentral is "long non-coding RNA (VVIN_LNC002041)". The record is from RNAcentral. Lineage: Eukaryota; Viridiplantae; Streptophyta; Magnoliopsida; Vitales; Vitaceae.